Molecule: ribosomal RNA, 119 nt
Filed under: Pteropus alecto (black flying fox)
Lineage: Eukaryota; Metazoa; Chordata; Mammalia; Chiroptera; Pteropodidae
Also listed under: 1 other name
Source: RNAcentral
GUCUACAGCUAUGCCACCCUGAACACGCCCGAUCCCGUCUGAUCUUGGAAGCUAAGCAGGGUCGGGCCUGGUUAAUACUUGGAUGGGAGACCACGUAGGAAUACCAGGUGCUGUAGAUG